Molecule: non-coding RNA, 205 nt
Filed under: Vitis vinifera (wine grape)
Lineage: Eukaryota; Viridiplantae; Streptophyta; Magnoliopsida; Vitales; Vitaceae
Source: Rfam by way of RNAcentral
GAGUAAAUUUAAAAACACGUUUAAAGUUGUAAGACCAUUUAUGGGGGUUGAUGUCUACCUAGUGCUAGAAAGUUGGGGAUAUCAAUGAUCUAAUGAGAGGAGAGUUGAUGAUUGAAACCUUGGUGGAUGACGAUCUUUAACUAUAAUAGUCAUAAGAUAGCAAAAUUCUUUUCAAGUAAGUUUUGACCCACACAAAAGUUGUAAC